This is a long non-coding RNA of Anopheles gambiae (African malaria mosquito), 591 nucleotides long. RefSeq lists it as uncharacterized. Lineage: Eukaryota; Metazoa; Arthropoda; Insecta; Diptera; Culicidae. The record is from RefSeq and is a predicted model, not a curated record. The transcript is spliced from 2 exons.
GCAAUCAAAUAGCAAUAGAACCACAGUCGCAAUAGCACCUGUAAAAGGAUUCGAUCCGAUUCGAAUCCUUCAAAUGGGAUCCGCUCCGAUUGAAUCAUUCUAGGAAAUCUUUCGAAUCCCGAUUCUGAUAACACAAUUCAAGAUAGUAUUUCCCGCGUGUAAAAAUCAUGAUCCAGUCUGUACUCAUUAGUUGACCUUUGAUUGCUUGCCAACAAUUAACUUUGUGUCAGUUAGUUGGCAUGUUUGUUACACACGACAAAAUCUUUUUGUUUUUCUAUAGUGAAUAUUUUCGAAUAUCGAUUAGCCAUGCUAUUAGUUGAAUUCCGACUGUUGAAGCUGUGUUUUCUCAACAUUUUCUCUCAUUACACUUUCGAUACACAAUACACUUUCGGUGUAGGUUUUCAUUCAAUUAUUUAUAAUCCUCAUUCUAAUAUACAACUGUUUGUUUUCCGUAGAAUGUGUUUGCGUGUUUCUUUUUUUUUUGUUCUUUUUUGUUUUUUAGUGUAGUUUGUGAAAUAGAGUUUGUUUUUGCGAAUUGAAUGCCGUUUCUUGGUGAUCAUAAUUACUUUCUCUUAUAUCAUACGAUAGCAC